AGUGAACGCUGGCGGUAGGCCUAACACAUGCAAGUCGAACGGCAGCACAGUAAGAGCUUGCUCUUACGGGUGGCGAGUGGCGGACGGGUGAGGAAUACAUCGGAAUCUACUUUUUCGUGGGGGAUAACGUAGGGAAACUUACGCUAAUACCGCAUACGACCUACGGGUGAAAGCAGGGGAUCUUCGGACCUUGCGCGAUUGAAUGAGCCGAUGUCGGAUUAGCUAGUUGGCGGGGUAAAGGCCCACCAAGGCGACGAUCCGUAGCUGGUCUGAGAGGAUGAUCAGCCACACUGGAACUGAGACACGGUCCAGACUCCGACGGGAGGCAGCAGUGGGGAAUAUUGGACAAUGGGCGCAAGCCUGAUCCAGCCAUACCGCGUGGGUGAAGAAGGCCUUCGGGUUGUAAAGCCCUUUUGUUGGGAAAGAAAAGCAGCAGGUUAAUACCCCGCUGUUCGGACGGUACCCAAAGAAUAAACACCGGCUAACUUCGU
This 491-nucleotide ribosomal RNA is filed under the name uncultured bacterium. Its description in RNAcentral is "partial 16S ribosomal RNA". It matches the Rfam family "Bacterial small subunit ribosomal RNA", at positions 29 to 506 of the family's 1533-position model. The record is from RNAcentral.